Molecule: long non-coding RNA, 1916 nt
Filed under: Cucumis sativus (cucumber)
Lineage: Eukaryota; Viridiplantae; Streptophyta; Magnoliopsida; Cucurbitales; Cucurbitaceae
Description: long non-coding RNA (CSAT_LNC002515)
Source: RNAcentral
UUUUAUCAAGGUUAAUUUUCAUAAAUAUAACAAACCAACAAAAUAUUUGCGACAUAUGUAACAAAAUGAAAAACCCAUUAAACUGAUGUAUAUGAUGGUGUACAAAAAAAAGUCUAAUCUAAAUUAUCGUGUUCCAAAUAUAAACAAUAUUUUAUUAAAAAACAUUUUUUAUUGUAUACCAAAUCUAAAGAUCGUGUGCUAAAUCUAAAAGAUUGUCUACACAAAUAUAGUACGUCAAUUAAUGGUGUGAUAUUUUUAAUAUUUUUCAUUGUGGAAGUAUUUUUCGUUUUCGAAAUUGUUCUACUAAAUAUUUUGCCUCUUGUUAUAUUUCUUAAAAGACCUCUUUUGUUAAGGUAAAUAUAUAAAAAAAAUACAUAGGUAAAUGUUUCAAUGAGAUUGUAGAUUCUAGGAAAAUACUUAGUUGUAUUUAUUAGAGAAAAUUGACUACUAAGUCAUGAGGAUGCAAGUGUCAACAUAGUUGAGAUAUCUAAAUGCAUUUAUUGACAUCAAUGGGAAAUGUUAGUUGGGAUUCCCACCAAAUAAGGGUGUCACGAGAAUAUAUAAAGGAGGAUCAAAAUCAUCUUAUUAUGAGAUAGUUUGAGUAACAAAAUAAAUAAUAUCAUAUUAAUUAUAUUACUAUUUAAUAAGCAUAUUAUUUUUUUCUUAGUAUUUUAGGCCAAAACUUAAAGAGUUGAGGAGCAAUCGUUUAGAGGUGGAGUCUUAUGGGCUGGACCAACCAAACUUGCAGGCCCAAUUAAGUGUUAAACCAGGUCCAAAUAAAAAGUGGACCGGCCUUCUAUUCAAAUUACUCAUUCUUUCCCAUUCAAACCCAUUCAUUGCCAAUCACACUCUUUCUUUUUUCUUUUUUCUUUUUUCAUUUUUUUUAAACACUGAUUUAUUUCUUCAAACUAUUCAUCUAAAUCAUAUAAAUGGAAGUAAUUAUGUGACAUAGUAUAUGUAUAUAUAUAUGUGUGUUAAAACAACACUCAUUAUUCUCUAAUUUAUAAGUAUGCAUGCAAUUGCACAGUCGGACGAUAAUUAGUAUAUACCACAAUUUAUAUAAUAUAAUAUUACAUAUAGUUACAUGAGAAUAGAAAGAGUGGAAACAAAUCUGUUAAGAAACAAAAUAUAUGUUGUAAAAGAAUGAGAGUUUAAGAAUGAAGCAAAAUCAUGUAAAGUGUAAACCAAAUUUAUUCAAAAUCAUGUAAUGUGUAUUUUACAUUUAGAUAUAAAAUUGACUUUUUAAAUUUAGAAUUUUUCUCAAUCUUUUUAAUCUUCAAACUUUUGUAUUUUUCCGUUCAAUAAAUUUGGAUCAAUUUCCAAACAUGAACAAAUAUUUUUUAUACUAAUGGAUCUCCCAAUUUUAUUCAAAACAAGUGGUAGUUAAAAAUAUUCAAAUUGAGAUUAACAAACAAGGAUUAAUUGGCAAAAAUUUGAAGUAAGGUUAUUUGUUUAUUUUCUUUAAAUUAGGAAGAAUUGUUUUGGUUUCUUUAUAGAGAAUUACAAAAGAUUACGAAUACGGAUAAAACAAAAUCCCAAAAAUCAAAACCAUAGGCCAAAUCAUGCAUCUAAUUCAAUUGGUUUUCAUUUGAUUCUUCCAUCUUAUUCAAACUGCUAAUCAGAGGAUCCCAAAAAAAUGUAUGGUAUCAAGAACAUUGAAAUUCAUAAGAAAGGAUUUAUUCUCAUUGCAGAUGAAGCAAAAACACUGAAAUAGAUCACAAGAUCCCAGAAUUUACACACUACGACAUGAUCGUAAUUCGUAACCAAGAUAUUCACAGAAGAGGAUUCAAACACAAACUUUGUUUAAACUCUACUCUACAUUCACACAACCGCUUUUUUAGCCCUCUUCGCUGCAGGAGACUUAAUUGAUUUCGGCUGUUUCGGCUUCGCCGGGGUAGACCUUUUCGGUUUCUUUG